This 400-nucleotide unclassified non-coding RNA is filed under the name soil metagenome. RNAcentral describes it as "partial contains 5.8S ribosomal RNA, internal transcribed spacer 2, and large subunit ribosomal RNA". The stretch from base 1 to 122 matches the Rfam family "5.8S ribosomal RNA", at positions 35 to 154 of the family's 154-position model. The record is from RNAcentral.
GAUGAAGAACGUAGCGAAAUGCGAUACUUGGUGUGAAUUGCAGAAUCCCGUGAACCAUCGAGUCUUUGAACGCAAGUUGCGCCUCAAGCCAUUAGGUUGAGGGCACGUCUGCCUGGGCGUCACAUAUCGUUGCCUGAUGCCAGUUUCCUCGUGAUGGGUGACUGUGCAGGGCGAAUGAUGGCUUCCCGUGAGCAUUGUUGCCUCAUGGUUGGUUGAAAAUUGAGUCCUUGGUAGGGAGCGCCGUGAUAGAUGGUGGUUGAGUGACGAACGAGACCCAAUCAUGUGAGACCCCUACCGAAUUUGGCCUUCAUGACCCACAUGCGUCUUUGGAACGCUCAUGACGAGACCUCAGGUCAGGCGGGGCUACUCGCUGAGUUUAAGCAUAUCAAUAAGCGGAGGA